Rhinichthys klamathensis goyatoka is the source of this 1238-nucleotide long non-coding RNA. RefSeq lists it as uncharacterized. The transcript has 3 exons. NCBI's taxonomy places the organism in Eukaryota, Metazoa, Chordata, Actinopteri, Cypriniformes, Leuciscidae. The record is from RefSeq and is a predicted model, not a curated record.
UCCUAAAAAGUCAAUCUAUUAACAUUGGGUGAGACUCAUUUGCUAUGAAUCUAUUCACACCACAGAGUUGUACAGGUUUCUGUAUGAAUGAUGUUGAAUCACAGUGAUCUAAUUGAGAAAUAAUCACCUAAAGAGUUCCAGACAUUUUUAGAUCUGCUCUGGAGUCAUUAAUGGUCGAGAUUUGUAACACCUGCUUAGGAAAAGUGCUGUGUCAAGAAAAGAAGAUUGAAGCCAAGAGUGCUUUAUUUCUCAGCAAGAAAAUGUCUGCACACACACACACUCACAAACACACACCCUUGAGGCCCUGCCCAUUAUCUGUCUGACGUGUAAAAUGUUCCUUGGAGCGAUCGAUGAAGAUCAGGUCCAAGGAAUUGAUAACCUUAUAAAGCCUGUAAUUACUUUCCUUCCUCGGCAACGAGCAAUAAAGUUUUUAUUAUGGAUCUCUCCGCUCACUCCGCGAGUCUUAGACAGUGAGGGAUGUUAGAAAUUAAAACUCACAGACUGUGAUUGUUUCACCGACUGAAAAUGCACGGAUACAGAUGAUUGAAAGUGAACUUCGCUGAUGAACAGAAUUUCAAGAGCAACCUGGGCUCCUAUGUCAUUCUCUUCAACGUGGAGAUCUGGGAAGAAACUAAUGUACCUUCAUUAACAGUAAAACAGCGCUACGUUUGAAUGAAUGGAAAUGGCUGGCAGAGGAUUUCCCAAGAUGACUGUAAAAAUGUCACCACAUGAAAAGUCUUAGGUUCACACCUGGGAGGGGCACAUCUUUAUCUGCAAGGCUAAUGUCUUCUUGAAGUUCAUGGAUCCUCCUGAGGUACAGACAGCAGAGGAGAGAUGACUCGAUGUGUUGAAUAUCUGAUGCCUUCCUCUUUCCCCGCUGUGGCCAUUACUCACCUCCUCGGAGAUGAUUGCAGAAGCCACAACAGACGCAAAAGUGACUGACACAGAGACACUGUGUGAGUUACAUUUCAAAAAUACACACAUUAUGAAUGAUUACUUUAACAGGAUGGAUCAUAGCGCUCGCUCUCCGUCUCUGUUUUGUUCCUUCCUCUGUGCCUUUUGUGUCUUGUGUGUGUCUGUAAAAGUAGAAAGGAAAUCAUUCAAGUGAGGACAGAAGCAAAACUGUGAAAAGUAAGAAAGGAAAUUACUGGAACUUUAAAGUCAACUUGAAAUUGGCUCAAUUUACUUUCUGAACACAUGUUCUUGGUCUUAUUGUGAAUAAUGCACAUUAUUCCAAA